AUUUCUUUGGGCCGCUCCCGCGGCAUAUGGAGGUUCCCAGGCUAGGGGUCAAAUCGGAGCUGUAGCCACCGGCCUACACCAGAGCCACAGCAACGCAGGAUCCGAGCCGCGUCUGCAACCUACACCACAGCUCACGGCAAUGCCGAACCAUUAACCCACUGAGCAAGGGCACAGACCGAACCCGCAACCUCAUGGUUCCUAGUCGGAUUCCUUAACCACUCAGAUUGCAAGAUUCUUUCUGUUCAUGUUCUCAAAACAUUUUCCACUUUUCCCUGGUCCAUGUUUUUAUUUAAUUCAGUCUUCUUUUACUAUUUACCAAACCAAGCAAAAUCUUGGAAAGCACACCAACAACUUUAAAUUUAGAUAUUAAAAAUAAAUAUAUACCAUGUUGACUAUAGUUAUCAAUACUGUAACAUAGAUGCGUGUAUGUGUAUAUACAUAUAUUUGAAAGCUGCCAAAAAAAUAAAUCUUAAAGAUUUUCCUCUCAGGAAAGAAAAAUUUUAACUGGGUGGUGAUGGAUGUUAACUAGACUUAUUGUGGUAAUCAUUUCACAAUAUACACAUAUAUCAAAUCAGCAUGUGGUACACCUGAAACUAAUACCAUGUGGUUUUAUGGCAACUGUAUCUUGAGAAAAGAAAAUAAAUUCUAAAAGUAACUCAUUUCAAUAAACAGACCUAUAUAAAAUACUACUCAGUAUAAAAAUUUCACCUGAUUGUGAAUUGCCAAAUUCAGGUAAUUCUACACUAGAAUGGUGGUGAAGCUUGCUGUAGUCGAAAUAUGCAAGAGAGACAGUUCAAGCCAUACCAACAAUUCUUACUGUUAUCUUGCGCCCAUUCCUGUGAGGCAGCUGGAAUAAAUUUCAUCUUGCCGACUGCCUAAGUGUUACAUCUGGAAACCCUGAGUGAACACGUGCCAUGCUUCCUAUUUACACCAAGGAUAGCCCAUUUGCAUCCACUGGUGCCCAGAGAAGCUGUCUUUCUUUAAUCCAACUCUGUUCAGCCAGACCCACACAUGUACUCCUGGAUCCAUCCGUCAGGCAUCAAGAAUUACAAUACUUGGAAGACUAAUCCUCCAGUCUAAACGUUUAAAUGUCAAAUGCUAAAUUACGCUGCAGGAUCUGGAGGGAGGAACUUGCAAACAUGACUCAGUCACACAUCUGGUUCAGCCCUGUCCAGAUGUCAGAACGCAUCAGUCAUUGCAGAUUAAUUUAUAAUGAGAGAAAUCAAGGCACGACCCAUGCGGUCUCAAAGGUCUAGUUAGAUGACGAUGAAGACCUAUGGAGCUCCCUCAAGUGUGGCUGACUCUCCAACCUAUUAAGAGUAUACGUUUCUGACAUUUUAAAUAUCUGAAGUCGGUGAUUUUAGCCCCUUGGGAAAAACAAUGUUAUAGCAUGUAAUUUAGGUUAUUUCAACAGAGCCUGUUCAAUCUUAAAUCAUCAUUUCUAGCGCAUUCAAGCAAUGCUUUUUUUUUGUAAAGCCACUUUGCACAAUAGUGCUGGCAAUCACAGAAUAUAACUUGACAACAAAUUACUUGUACAGUGUGCAACACAAGUCCCGGGAGCCAGGGACCUUGCUCCUUGUCUUCGUCAGUUUCGGCAAUGACGCCUUGCUUCCCAGCCUGCUGCUAAUGCACUGGCCUCAAAAACACAUAAGCCCCAAGUGCUCGCCAACAUGUUGAUAUCACCUCCAGGGCGGCCACUUUCUUUCUUUUCCUUUUUGAAAACUCACUGGUUUUUUGCUUUUUGUUUUUUAAGUCAUUCGUAUCCAAUCCGUCAGCAUCAACAGUCAUCUUCACGUACGAAUGUUAACACUGUAUUACUAAAGAAGUCUUGGUAAUUUGUUUUGGGGGGAGAGUUGAAAGGGGGUGACACUAACCAAGCAAGCCAAGGGAAAAUAAUUUCAACCAUUCUGAAAGCUGAUCUCUGGGAAGUCAGAGAGAGCAGAUUAAUGCCCCAGGCAGGCACAUUUCGAAGAAGAUGGUGUGUAUUACAGCUAAGAAGGGCAGACCAAGAGAUCUCACAGGGACUGGCCCAGUUAAAAGUCGCAGAAAAUGCGGGAAAUGAAAACCGAUAGAUCUGGUAUGGAUUACACUCAUUCCUGUAAAUUCCCAGUUUGGGAACACCGUAUUUGAUGAUCGAGAAAGAUCUGGAAGGGAACUAGAUUAUCACUGACAACUAGAUCUAAAUGGAUAGAAUUAACAUCUUUAUUGGUGCUCCAUCUAUCAUCAGCUGUUAAGGGCAGAUUUUUUUUUUCUUUUUCACUAAAGACAUAGGUAUAAAACUAGAGGUUCUGUACAAAAGAGUAAAAGGAAAGCAGAUUUUAUGACUCCUGGAAAGUUUUUUACCCAAGAAAUCCUGUGAGAUGAUUUGAAUAUGAAUGCUUUUCCUCCAGGGGAACCUAUAUUUAAAAAGUUAAUCUGAUAACCAAUUAAUAUCAUAAAUUGUAUUAUGAUAUUAUGCUAUAUAAUGGUAUUUUUCUCACCAAGACUUUUUAAUAUUAGCAUCAAAAUAAAUCAGUAGCAUUAUGAGCAGUGCCUUCCAUGAUAGCCCAGUACUUGGCUCCAUAAAUGCUACAUGAUAAAUUUCAUUUCCCAUCAUCUAUCACCAUCUUUUAUUACCUCCUCAGUAUCAUCAACAAAGCUUGUUAAUAUAUAGCUGCAAAGAAAUAUUAAGCCUCACAUUUUAUAAUAAAUAUUUCUGGGAGAUAAAAACUGUACUUAAAAAUAUAUCUGAGUGAUAAUAAAAGUUUACACUAGUUGCAUGCUUCAUUUUUUAGCAACUUGACAAAUUAUUUUCCAAGGUGGUUACACAAUUUCACAUUCCUACCAGCAAUGUAUCAAUAAUCUAGUUUCUUUUCUUCUUUGCCAGCAUUUGAUGUUGUCACUAGUUUUUAUUUUAGUCACUCUAAUAGAUGCACAGUGAUAUGGCACUGUGAUUUUAUUUCAUUUUAUUG
Molecule: long non-coding RNA, 2951 nt
Filed under: Sus scrofa (pig)
Lineage: Eukaryota; Metazoa; Chordata; Mammalia; Artiodactyla; Suidae
Description: lncRNA (ENSSSCG00025050052.1, ENSSSCG00105003823.1)
Source: RNAcentral